This 127-nucleotide small RNA is filed under the name Marmota monax (woodchuck). Lineage: Eukaryota; Metazoa; Chordata; Mammalia; Rodentia; Sciuridae. The record is from RNAcentral.
GCUGGGUGUGGUGAUGCAGGCCUAUAAUCCCAGCCGCUUAGGAGGCUGAGGCAGGAGGAUCGCAGGUUCAGAGGCAGACUCUGCAACUUAGCAAGGCCCUAGGCAACCCAGAGAGACCUUGUCUCUA